RNAcentral lists this ribosomal RNA (492 nucleotides) under uncultured bacterium. RNAcentral's name for it is "partial 16S ribosomal RNA". It matches the Rfam family "Bacterial small subunit ribosomal RNA", at positions 29 to 507 of the family's 1533-position model. The record is from RNAcentral.
AGUGAACGCUGGCGGUAGGCCUAACACAUGCAAGUCGAACGGCAGCACAGUAAGAGCUUGCUCUUACGGGUGGCGAGUGGCGGACGGGUGAGGAAUACAUCGGAAUCUACUUUUUCGUGGAGGAUAACGUAGGGAAACUUACGCUAAUACCGCAUACGACCUACGGGUGAAAGCAGGGGAUCUUCGGACCUUGCGCGAUUGAAUGAGCCGAUGUCGGAUUAGCUAGUUGGCGGGGUAAAGGCCCACCAAGGCGACGAUCCGUAGCUGGUCUGAGAGGAUGAUCAGCCACACUGGAACUGAGACACGGUCCAGACUCCUACGGGAGGCAGCAGUGGGGAAUAUUGGACAAUGGGCGCAAGCCUGAUCCAGCCAUACCGCGUGGGUGAAGAAGGCCUUCAGGUUGUAAAGCCCUUUUGUUGGGAAAGAAAAGCAGCAGGUUAAUACCCCGCUGUUCUGACGGUACCCAAAGAAUAAGCACCGGCUAACUUCGUG